This 460-nucleotide ribosomal RNA is filed under the name uncultured bacterium. Its description in RNAcentral is "partial 16S ribosomal RNA". It matches the Rfam family "Bacterial small subunit ribosomal RNA", at positions 338 to 795 of the family's 1533-position model. The record is from RNAcentral.
CCUACGUGUGGCUGCAUUGAGGAAUAUUGGUCAAUGGGCGGAAGCCUGAACCAGCCAAGUCGCGUGAGGGAAUAAGGCCCUACGGGUCGUAAACCUCUUUUGCCGGGGAGCAAGGGCGGGGACGUGUCCCGGCCCGGAGAGUACCCUGAGAAAAAGCAUCGGCUAACUCCGUGCCAGCAGCCGCGGUAAUACGGAGGAUGCGAGCGUUAUCCGGAUUUAUUGGGUUUAAAGGGUGCGUAGGCGGGCUUUUAAGUCAGCGGUAAAAAUUCGGGGCUCAACCCCGUCCGGCCGUUGAAACUGGGGGCCUUGAGUGGGCGAGAAGAAGGCGGAAUGCGUGGUGUAGCGGUGAAAUGCAUAGAUAUCACGCAGAACCCCGAUUGCGAAGGCAGCUCACUGGACUGCAACUGACACUGAGGCUCGAAAGUGUGGGUAUCAAACAGGAGUAGAUACCCCUGUAGUC